Molecule: long non-coding RNA, 521 nt
Organism: Trifolium pratense (red clover)
Lineage: Eukaryota; Viridiplantae; Streptophyta; Magnoliopsida; Fabales; Fabaceae
Exons: 2
Source: RefSeq, a predicted model, not a curated record
UAAAUAGUAACCUUGAGUAUAUAUAUAAAAAAAAAAUAUAGAAACAAAAAUUCAUUGUUGUCAAAAAUAAAAACAAGAAGAACGUAGAAGAGGAAAGAAGAGAGAGGAAGGUCUAGAAGCAUAGAACAAAAUCAAGAAAAAGAACAAAGAUUUCAACUUGAGCUAAGAUACUCAGGUUGAGGAUCAUAUAUCCCAGGAGUAGUCGCGUGUCCUUUGUUGCUCGAAUCUAGCUUUUUGGUGAGGAGUGUAGCUAUGCUACUUCAUCUCAGUUGCUUAUGUUUAGCUCGAGUCUAGAGUAGUGCUCUGACGUAUAUACCACUAUGUCUAGGACCUCGCUAGCUUGUAUUACCUAAAUGGUUAUAUUUUGAUGUUAUGACUUUUAUUGUCGAGACUUAUGUUGUUUUGUUCAUAUCAUGAAUGAUGUGAUCAUGAUAUGGAUAUGUUGGUACUUAAACUUACUUAAGUUAUUAUGAUGAUACACUAUUUUAAGUAUAAUGGUGAAAUAUAAAUAUUGAAGUACA